AGUGAACGCUGGCGGUAGGCCUAACACAUGCAAGUCGAACGGCAGCACAGUAAGAGCUUGCUCUUACGGGUGGCGAGUGGCGGACGGGUGAGGAAUACAUCGGAAUCUACUUUUUCGUGGGGGCUAACGUAGGGAAACUUACGCUAAUACCGCAUACGACCUACGGGUGAAAGCAGGGGAUCUUCUGACCUUGCUCGAUUGAAUGAGCCGAUGUCGGAUUAGCUAGUUGGCGGGGUAAAGGCCCACCAAGGCGACGAUCCGUAGCUGGUCUGAGAGGAUGAUCAGCCACACUGGAACUGAGACACGGUCCAGACUCCUACGGGAGGAAGCAGUGGGGAAUAUUGGACAAUGGGCGCAAGCCUGAUCCAGCCAUACCGCGUGGGUGAAGAAGGCCUUCGGGUUGUAAAGCCCUUUUGUUGGGAAAGAAAAGCAGCAGGUUAAUACCCCGCUGUUCUGACGGUACCCAAAGAAUAAGCACCGGCUAACUUCGUG
RNAcentral lists this ribosomal RNA (492 nucleotides) under uncultured bacterium. Its description in RNAcentral is "partial 16S ribosomal RNA". It matches the Rfam family "Bacterial small subunit ribosomal RNA", at positions 29 to 507 of the family's 1533-position model. The record is from RNAcentral.